GACGAACGCUGGCGGCGUGCUUAACACAUGCAAGUCGAACGGAAAGGCCCUGCUUUUGUGGGGUGCUCGAGUGGCGAACGGGUGAGUAACACGUGAGUAGCCUGCCCUUGACUUUGGGAUAACUUCAGGAAACUGGGGCUAAUACCGGAUAGGAGCUCCUGCUGCAUGGUGGGGGUUGGAAAGUUUCGGCGGUUGGGGAUGGACUCGCGGCUUAUCAGCUUGUUGGUGGGGUAGUGGCUUACCAAGGCUUUGACGGGUAGCCGGCCUGAGAGGGUGACCGGCCACAUUGGGACUGAGAUACGGCCCAGACUCCUACGGGAGGCAGCAGUGGGGAAUAUUGCACAAUGGGCGGAAGCCUGAUGCAGCAACGCCGCGUGCGGGAUGACGGCCUUCGGGUUGUAAACCGCUUUCGCCUGUGACGAAGCGUGAGUGACGGUAAUGGGUAAAGAAGCACCGGCUAACUCUGUG
RNAcentral lists this ribosomal RNA (468 nucleotides) under uncultured bacterium. RNAcentral's name for it is "partial 16S ribosomal RNA". It matches the Rfam family "Bacterial small subunit ribosomal RNA", at positions 28 to 507 of the family's 1533-position model. The record is from RNAcentral.